This 460-nucleotide ribosomal RNA is filed under the name uncultured bacterium. RNAcentral's name for it is "partial 16S ribosomal RNA". It matches the Rfam family "Bacterial small subunit ribosomal RNA", at positions 338 to 795 of the family's 1533-position model. The record is from RNAcentral.
CCUACGGGGGGCAGCAGUGAGGAAUAUUGGUCAAUGGGCGGGAGCCUGAACCAGCCAAGCCGCGUGAGGGAAGAAGGUACAGCGUAUCGUAAACCUCUUUUGUCAGGGAACAAAGGCGGGGACUAGUCCCCGGAUGAGGGUACCUGAAGAAGAAGCCUCGGCUAACUACGUGCCAGCAGCCGCGGUAAUACGUAGGGGGCAAGCGUUAUCCGGAUUUACUGGGGGUAAAGGGGGCGCAGACGGCGAUGCAAGGCAGGGGUGAAAGCCCGGGGCCCAACCCCGGGAGAGCUCUUGGAACUGGCUGGCUGGAGUGCAAGAGAGGCAGGCGGAAUGCGUGGUGUAGCGGUGAAAUGCGUAGAUAUCGGGAGGAACGCCGAUGGCGAAGGCAGCCUGCUGGCCUGCAACUGACGUUGAGGCACGAAAGCGUGGGGAGCGAACAGGAUUAGAUACCCCAGUAGUC